UACAGAGGGGGCAAGCGUUGUUCGGAAUUACUGGGCGUAAAGGGCGCGUAGGCGGCCACCGCAAGUCGAUUGUGAAAUCUCCGGGCUUAACCCGGAAAGGUCAACCGAUACUGCGGGGCUAGAGUGCAGAAGGGGCAACUGGAAUUCUCGGUGUAGCGGUGAAAUGCGUAGAUAUCGAGAGGAACACCUGCGGCGAAGGCGGGUUGCUGGGCUGACACUGACGCUGAAGCGCGAAAGCUAGGGGAGCGAACGGG
This 254-nucleotide ribosomal RNA is filed under the name uncultured bacterium. RNAcentral describes it as "partial 16S ribosomal RNA". It matches the Rfam family "Bacterial small subunit ribosomal RNA", at positions 524 to 776 of the family's 1533-position model. The record is from RNAcentral.